UUCUAGCCCCGGUGGGAGCGGCAUCCUUUGCCUUUUUUCUUUACAAAAGGCAAAGAUAUAGCUGACGACGGGACUUUGU
RNAcentral lists this small RNA (79 nucleotides) under Flavobacterium sp. 9R. RNAcentral describes it as "Flavo-1". It matches the Rfam family "Flavo-1 RNA". The record is from RNAcentral. Lineage: Bacteria; Pseudomonadati; Bacteroidota; Flavobacteriia; Flavobacteriales; Flavobacteriaceae.